This is a long non-coding RNA of Oryzias melastigma (Indian medaka), 1130 nucleotides long. RefSeq lists it as uncharacterized. NCBI's taxonomy places the organism in Eukaryota, Metazoa, Chordata, Actinopteri, Beloniformes, Adrianichthyidae. The record is from RefSeq and is a predicted model, not a curated record. The transcript has 3 exons.
GAUUAUAAGACUGAAUUGAAUUAUCUGCUGCUGAUAACCUGGAUCAUGUGUGUUGAGCCAAUGAGGAGCUUCAACAGCAGAAAACAUGUAGGACACCGGCCCUCGAGGCCACACAUUUUUGACGAGCAGCGAAUUUGUCGCGUGAAUUGCGUUUGGUGUGAGAAUGUGAUCAUACUCGUGUUCAAGAAUCCAGAGCGUUCUUGAACGUCCCUCACACGCCUCAUUGUUUAACCAAAGUUUGAAAUAUUUUAUUUCUUUUAAGUGGAAUCUCUUUACAAGUUUUAAACAAACAGGAAGUCGUUUCCACACCAGCUGAUGCUGAAACCAUCCGUCUUACUUCUGCCGCUCUGCAGGUUGUGUUCACUGACUGCCUCUUCUUCCACACUCCCUCCUUUCAUAACAUCCCGGUGUUUUUCCAUUGUCAAGGUUGGAUGGAUGAAGCUCGGACCAUGAAAGUUUGAAUGGGAACAUUAUGUCCAGCAGUACUGCGCUCCUCCAGGCAAAAAAAGGCUGAAUAAAUCACAGAACGCUGCUGCUGCUGAAACCUCCACUAAAAAAGGGAGCAAAAGCAAAGCUGGACCACGAAGCGUCAGCGUUUGAUGUGAAGCUGCUGGGACAUGACCCAACCGCACUGACAUCACACAGAUAUACUCGUGUCCCAAUCGAGCGGAGCUUUUCCCUCCCUUCAUCCAAGACAAACACAUAAAGAGUGAGGACUUUGCAGGAUAAAGACCCCAUGCCAAGCAGGCAGAGAUGAGUUCAACCCAAACACGACUCAGAGCUGUUUUAUCUGUCAGAGGUCUGGACCCUGGAACCAGCACUCGACCCAAAACUGCUGGUGGUGGAGAUCCGUCAUGAUCUCAUGUCAGAAGGUUGGAGGGAAACUUGGUGAAAAACUGAGGAACACUUCGAUAAAACAGCAGAAAUUUGAGGGGAUUGGAUUUAAAGCCUACCAGCCCGGAGAACUCGUGGCUCAUGGUCACAAACGCAACAGCUGUGAGGUUGGCCUCCGCUAACCUCUGCGUGUUCGUUGAUGAGAAGAAAGUGAAAGACCCAAUCGGAAUUUAUUCAGAUUAAUAAAAGUUGUAUCAGGCUUGUACAGACAUCUCGGGGCUGCAAGGACAGAUUAA